GACGAACGCUGGCGGCGUGCUUAACACAUGCAAGUCGAACGGAAAGGCCCUGCUUUUGUGGGGUGCUCGAGUGGCGAACGGGUGAGUAACACGUGAGUAACCUGCCCUUGACUUUGGGAUAACUUCAGGAAACUGGGGCUAAUACCGGAUAGGAGCUCCUGCUGCAUGGUGGGGGUUGGAAAGUUUCGGCGGUUGGGGAUGGACUCGCGGCUUAUCAGCUUGUUGGUGGGGUAGUGGCUUACCAAGGCUUUGACGGGUAGCCGGCCUGAGAGGGUGACCGGCCACAUUGGGACUGAGAUACGGCCCAGACUCCUACGGGAGGCAGCAGUGGGGAAUAUUGCACAAUGGGCGGAAGCCUGAUGCAGCAACGCCGCGUGCGGGAUGACGGCCUUCGGGUUGUAAACCGCUUUCGCCUGUGACGAAGCGUGAGUGACGGUAAUGGGUAAAGAAGCACCGGCUAACUACGUGCCAGCAGCCGCGGUGAUACGUAGGGUGCGAGCGUUGUCCGGAUUUAUUGGGCGUAAAGGGCUCGUAGGUGGUUGAUCGCGUCGGAAGUGUAAUCUUGGGGCUUAACCCUGAGCGUGCUUUCGAUACGGGUUGACUUGAGGAAGGUAGGGGAGAAUGGAAUUCCUGGUGGAGCGGUGGAAUGCGCAGAUAUCAGGAGGAACACCAGUGGCGAAGGCGGUUCUCUGGGCCUUUCCUGACGCUGAGGAGCGAAAGCGUGGGGAGCGAACAGGCUUAGAUACCCUGGUAGUCCACGCUGUAAACGGUGGGUACUAGGUGUGGGGUCCAUUCCACGGGUUCCGUGCCGUAGCUAACGCUUUAAGUACCCCGCCUGGGGAGUACGGCCGCAAGGCUAAAACUCAAAGGAAUUGACGGGGCCCCGCACAAGCGGCGGAGCAUGCGGAUUAAUUCGAUGCAACGCGUAGAACCUUACCUGGGUUUGACAUGGAUCGGGAGUGCUCAGAGAUGGGUGUGCCUCUUUUGGGGUCGGUUCACAGGUGGUGCAUGGCUGUCGUCAGCUCGUGUCGUGAGAUGUUGGGUUAAGUCCCGCAACGAGCGCAACCCUUGUUCACUGUUGCCAGCACGUUAUGGUGGGGACUCAGUGGAGACCGCCGGGGUCAACUCGGAGGAAGGUGGGGAUGACGUCAAGUCAUCAUGCCCCUUAUGUCCAGGGCUUCACGCAUGCUACAAUGGCUGGUACAGAGAGUGGCGAGCCUGUGAGGGUGAGCGAAUCUCGGAAAGCCGGUCUCAGUUCGGAUUGGGGUCAGCAACUCGACUUCAUGAAGUCGGAGUCGCUAGUAAUCGCAGAUCAGCAACGCUGCGGUGAAUACGUUCCCGGGGCU
Molecule: ribosomal RNA, 1346 nt
Filed under: uncultured bacterium
Lineage: Bacteria
Description: partial 16S ribosomal RNA
Rfam family: Bacterial small subunit ribosomal RNA
Source: RNAcentral